GUACUCAGUUUGCCAGCACACAUAUGAAAAUUGAAAUGAUACAGAGACUAGCAUGGCCCCUGAGCAAGGAUGACAUGUAAAUUCAUGCAGUGUUCCAUACUCUC
Onychomys torridus (southern grasshopper mouse) is the source of this 104-nucleotide small nuclear RNA. The record is from RefSeq and is a predicted model, not a curated record. NCBI's taxonomy places the organism in Eukaryota, Metazoa, Chordata, Mammalia, Rodentia, Cricetidae.